Molecule: ribosomal RNA, 253 nt
Filed under: uncultured bacterium
Lineage: Bacteria
Description: partial 16S ribosomal RNA
Rfam family: Bacterial small subunit ribosomal RNA
Source: RNAcentral
GACAGAGGAUGCAAGCGUUAUCCGGAAUGAUUGGGCGUAAAGCGUCUGUAGGUGGCUUUUUAAGUCCGCCGUCAAAUCCCAGGGCUCAACUCUGGACAGGCGGUGGAAACUACCAAGCUGGAGUACGGUAGGGGCAGAGGGAAUUUCCGGUGGAGCGGUGAAAUGCGCAGAGAUCGGAAAGAACACCAACGGCGAAGGCGGCUCUCUGGGACGGUACUGACGCUGAGACGCGAAAGCGUGGGGAGCAAACAGG